This 684-nucleotide long non-coding RNA is filed under the name Ananas comosus (pineapple). RNAcentral describes it as "long non-coding RNA (ACOM_LNC010685)". The record is from RNAcentral. Lineage: Eukaryota; Viridiplantae; Streptophyta; Magnoliopsida; Poales; Bromeliaceae.
UAAUUAUUAUAUUAAUUUUUUAUUGAUUGCAACUAAAAAUUAAAUUUGAAAUUUAAUUCCAAAUAUAUAUACAUAUAUUUAAAUUUUCAUCUCAUAUAACUUUAAUUUAUAUUUAUAAAAUUUUAACUAAAAUUAUUAAAAUAUAAUUAUUGUCGGAAACAACUAUAUAAAUUUGAAUUAGAAUAUAACUGAUAUUUUUUAAUAAAAUAUAGUAGAUAAAUUUAAAUUUUUUAUAUUUUUAUUAUAAAUUUUUAAAUAAAUAUAAUAAAUAAAUAUAUAUUAAUUUAAAGAAAAAACUUCAAAUACCACCUCUGUGGUUUCACACGUUCUCACUUUAUUAACUUGUAGUUUAAAAUAUAUCAAUUUAGUGUCCUGUGGUUUUAUUUUUUUCUUUUUAUUAUUGAUUUCAUUAAUUUUUUUCAUUAAAUCAGUGACAAACUUUAAAACUAAAUGAUAGUAAAGUGAAUAUUUGAUAAACUUAGGUAGGAUAUCUGAAAUUUUUUUGUAUAUAAUUUAAUAGAAUAUUAACGAAAAAAUUGAUGAAAAGAUAAAAAUAAAACCACAGGAUACUAACUUGAUAUACUUUAAAUCACAGAAUACUAAAGUGAGAAGCAAAACCAUAAAUAUGAUAUUUAAAGUUUAUUCUUAUUUAAAAUAAUAAUUAAAAUAAUUAUGACGUGUAUU